UUUGCCUGAUGGUGUCGACAACUGACCAAGCGGAAGCAAUCUGAACGUUGUUUAUUAAUGAGCAGUAAUAGCAAUAAAUCUGAGAUUUGACAUGGUUUCUGAGUCUGAUGUCAUAUCCUGCAGGGCACUGGAAAGACUUGGCAGGCUUCCCAGCAGUGCAGCCUCCUGGGGCUGAUUCAGCCAAUGUUCCCACCCAGGAAUCCUGGACGUCUGACAGGAAACAGGCCCAACUCUCCCAAGGCCACUAUAAGUCAGCCUCUCCCCUCAACCCCAUGUCUCCCCCUUACCCAAAAACCUCUCCCGGGACCUUUCUUUAUGUUUCUCUCAGACAAACUAUCUUACUAAUAGACAUUCUUCUUCACCACACCCCAUUUUCACCCCCUCUGCCCUCUACCCAGCUUCCCAUCAUAGCCGUGUCUUGCUUGAGCCUUCAAGCAACUGAGCAAUUUUAUUAGCUAAGAGAGCCAUGAUUAAUAGCCAAGCAGUAUUUGCAUACACAACGUCAUGCUUUCAUGUCAAAGCUAGUGUUUUCCUGACCUUGUCAGAGCAUGUUUGGAUUAAAUGCAGCAUUUUGAAUACUUCUGGGAUGUAGACACAAUGGGAAGGCGUCUCUGGACCUGCAGGAGAUCAACCACUGCACUUAGAUUUCAGCUCAGAGUUAAACUUGAACACACAAAAUGGAUUCUUUUCAGUAUUUCAUUUAUUUUAUAAAAAAAAAGGAAUGCAAUUAACAAAACAUUUAUGUACCUACAUUAGUGUUUCAGAUUGUACCAAUUUAACACAGGCAGCGUGCUACUGGACACACAAGGCUAUUGCACACGAGACAUUUCAUACAACACAAAUCAUACAUACUGUACAAAGAUACAUACAUACAUACAUACACACACACAUACAAACAUACAUAGUUAGUCAUGUAUUGUAUCAUACAAAAAAAUCAUAGUGACGCAACACAAUGAAGUGAUGGGUACACAGAUUAAAACACCUCUCCAUCUGAAAAAAAAAAAAAAAAAAAAAAACUGGGGGAAAGCAAACAUCACUGAAGCUGCCAAAGUGCUUUUCACCAUUUCUGCUUGGCCAUCUAAAUGUAAAGGUCAUUUUUUAAAAAAAGCACAGGGAGAGAGAAGAGUUUUAAAUG
Long non-coding RNA from Acanthopagrus latus (yellowfin seabream), 1135 nucleotides. RefSeq lists it as uncharacterized. Lineage: Eukaryota; Metazoa; Chordata; Actinopteri; Spariformes; Sparidae. The record is from RefSeq and is a predicted model, not a curated record. The transcript has 2 exons.